AUGUCAAACUAUUCAAAUAUCAGUACUUGUCAUGCCACUUGUUAUUUGAUUAUGAUCUACAUAAGCAUAAACCUAACACCCAUUCAAUGACAAAUCUUAAUGUUUGUCUGAGAAGAAAACAUUUAAAACUUACAUGAUUUGUAGAUUAUGCAGUCUUGAAAUGUCUUUCGGCAAGAAACCUUUCAGGCCUUGAUUGUCAAGACCACUUCCAUCAAUGACCCAAUUGCCGCUACUUUUGUCUAAUUGGCAAUCCACUCCGAUCCACGGAUGUUGUUGAGGAACACAUGGAUCACCAUUCCACCCAAACCUGGGAGGAAGCCCCAAAUCCUUCUUCAAUCUUUGUAAAGCC
This 349-nucleotide long non-coding RNA is filed under the name Medicago truncatula (barrel medic). RNAcentral's name for it is "lncRNA gene7634". Lineage: Eukaryota; Viridiplantae; Streptophyta; Magnoliopsida; Fabales; Fabaceae. The record is from RNAcentral.